This 89-nucleotide unclassified non-coding RNA is filed under the name Pseudomonas brassicacearum. Lineage: Bacteria; Pseudomonadati; Pseudomonadota; Gammaproteobacteria; Pseudomonadales; Pseudomonadaceae. The record is from RNAcentral.
UGUGGGAGCGAGCUUGCUCGCGAUAGCUGUUUGUCAGUCGCCAUAUGCUUAGCUGACACUCCGCUAUCGCGAGCAAGCUCGCUCCCACA